Molecule: long non-coding RNA, 787 nt
Organism: Micropterus salmoides (largemouth bass)
Lineage: Eukaryota; Metazoa; Chordata; Actinopteri; Centrarchiformes; Centrarchidae
Exons: 4
Source: RefSeq, a predicted model, not a curated record
CUGCAGGAGGGCCUUCACAUUGAUUCAUGGCUGGCGUCAGGGUAGAGCUGCUGCUGGUCCUGACUGCGACUCUGCUGGUUUCAGUAGAGGGAUGGGCGCGGAUCAAGAAAAUUCAACGUCCCUCGCCAGAUGACCGCAGGGAGGACGACAGCGGUGAAGAUGCAGUUCUUGAGGAUUCAUUGCUUCAAGUUGAAGGCCCACCGCCAGUGGAAACUUCUACAAUUUUGCUAACCAUGGAGACCAGAUUGACACAGUAGAUUCUAGUCCAAGAACAUGGCGCAGAGGUACUGAUAGUAGUUUCCAGAUGGAAUUUGACAAUAUCCCUUCAAGGAGCCAGACCAGCGGUACCAGUCGGCGUCGGACUGGGCUAGAUGUGGUUUGCAGUGACGCUGGCUUUCAAAUUACUGUGCUGAAAGGUUCAUUAAGUGAAGUUAAAGUUGUGGGCUCAAAGGACCUGCUGUCUGUUAUGGAUGCUCCAGAGUCUUGUGGUUAUGAAGUGAACCUUGACUAACACCUUGGCUGUACCCUUUACCGGGUGCCAUGUGAAACGGAGUGACCGCUACAGCCUGCAGUUGUUGUACGUCAACGCGUUUGAUCAGACACAAGUUGCUACCGCAUCUUGUGAGAGACGCCUGAAGGUUGACCCAGGCGUAUUUCCUGGCUCCAGUGGCCAAUCCUAUCCACAUUUAAGCGCAUUGAGCCAAUCCGAGCGCGGCCACAACGGCCUGCAUGUCCGCAAAAGCCUGGCUCGCCCCAAGAACCUUCAUUGCCCCUAGGGCCUGGAUCA